Molecule: ribosomal RNA, 497 nt
Filed under: uncultured bacterium
Lineage: Bacteria
Description: partial 16S ribosomal RNA
Rfam family: Bacterial small subunit ribosomal RNA
Source: RNAcentral
GAUGAACGCUGGCGGCGUGCCUAAUACAUGCCAGUCGAGCGAACGGACGAGAAGCUUGCUUCUCUGAUGUUAGCGGCGGACGGGUGAGUAACACGUGGAUAACCUACCUAUAAGACUGGGAUAAAUUCGGGAAACCGGAGCUAAUACCGGAUAAUAUUUUGAACCGCAUGGUUCAAAAGUGAAAGACGGUCUUGCUGUCACUUAUAGAUGGAUCCGCGCUGCAUUAGCUAGUUGGUAAGGUAACGGCUUACCAAGGCAACGAUGCAUAGCCGACCUGAGAGGGUGAUCGGCCACACUGGAACUGAGACACGGUCCAGACUCCUACGGGAGGCAGCAGUAGGGAAUCUUCCGCAAUGGGCGAAAGCCUGACGGAGCAACGCCGCGUGAGUGAUGAAGGUCUUCGGAUCGUAAAACUCUGUUAUUAGGGAAGAACAUAUGUGUAAGUAACUGUGCACAUCUUGACGGUACCUAAUCAGAAAGCCACGGCUAACUACGUG